RNAcentral lists this ribosomal RNA (372 nucleotides) under uncultured marine gamma proteobacterium DHB-32. RNAcentral's name for it is "bacterial SSU rRNA". It matches the Rfam family "Bacterial small subunit ribosomal RNA", at positions 1127 to 1497 of the family's 1533-position model. The record is from RNAcentral. Lineage: Bacteria; Pseudomonadati; Pseudomonadota; Gammaproteobacteria.
UAUGGCGGGAACUCUAAGGAGACUGCCGGUGAUAAACCCGAGGAAGGUGGGGACGACGUCAAGUCAUCAUGGCCCUUACGGGAUGGGCUACACACGUGCUACAAUGGCAAGUACAGAGGGCAGCAAUACCGCGAGGUGGAGCGAAUCCCACAAAGCUUGUCGUAGUCCGGAUUGGAGUCUGCAACUCGACUCCAUGAAGUCGGAAUCGCUAGUAAUCGUAGAUCAGAAUGCUACGGUGAAUACGUUCCCGGGCCUUGUACACACCGCCCGUCACACCAUGGGAGUGGGAUGCAAAAGAAGUGGCUAAGUUUAACCUUCGGGAGGACGGUCACCACUUUGUGUUUCAUGACUGGGGUGAAGUCGUAACAAGGU